CCGUGCUAUAUUAUCAUUUAAUGUAGGAGCCUGACCGUGCUAUAUAUUAUUUAAUGUGGGAGCCUGACCGUGGUUUAUGUUAUUUCAUGUGGGAGCCUGACCGUGUUAUAUAUUAUUUAAUGUGGAGCCUGACCACGCUCUGUUUUAUUUAAUGUGGGAGCCUGAACGUGUUAUAUAUUAUUUUAAGUGGGAGCCUGACCACGCUAUAUUGUAUCUAAUGUGGGAGCCCUGAACGUGUUAUAUCUUAUUUAAUGUGGGAGCCUGACCAUGCUAUAUAUUAUUUAAUGACUGUGUUAUAUCUUAUUUAAUGUGGCAGCCUGACCACGCUAUAUAUUAUUUAAUGACCGUGUUAUAUCUUAUUUAAUGUGGGAGCCUGACCACGCU
Molecule: non-coding RNA, 384 nt
Organism: Pelobates cultripes (western spadefoot toad)
Lineage: Eukaryota; Metazoa; Chordata; Amphibia; Anura; Pelobatidae
Source: the annotation of a GenBank genome assembly